RNAcentral lists this ribosomal RNA (338 nucleotides) under Pratylenchus penetrans. RNAcentral describes it as "partial large subunit ribosomal RNA". It matches the Rfam family "Eukaryotic large subunit ribosomal RNA", at positions 642 to 956 of the family's 3401-position model. Lineage: Eukaryota; Metazoa; Nematoda; Chromadorea; Rhabditida; Pratylenchidae. The record is from RNAcentral.
UUUUGACCCGUCUUGAAACACGGACCAAGGAGUAUACAGUAUGUGCGAGUCAUUGAGUUCUAAACUCAAAGGCGUAAUGAAAGUAAAGAUUCCGUAAGGUUUUGAUAUGCGAUCUCGGUUGCCUCGGUAGCUGAGAGCAGCAUAGCCCCGUCUUGACCGCUUGCGGUAGGGCGGAGGUAGAGCGCAUGCUAUGUGACCCGAAAGAUGGUGAACUAUGCUUGAACAGGAUGAAGCCAGAGGAAACUCUGGUGGAAGUCCGAAGCGAUUCUGACGUGCAAAUCGAUCGUCUGAUUUGAGUAUAGGGGCGAAAGACUAAUCGAACCAUCUAGUAACUGGUU